This 164-nucleotide ribosomal RNA is filed under the name uncultured bacterium. Its description in RNAcentral is "partial 16S rRNA". It matches the Rfam family "Bacterial small subunit ribosomal RNA", at positions 355 to 511 of the family's 1533-position model. The record is from RNAcentral.
UAGGGAAUCUUCCACAAUGGGCGCAAGCCUGAUGGAGCAACACCGCGUGAGUGAAGAAGGGUUUCAGCUCGUAAAGCUCUGUUGUUAAAGAAGAACACGUAUGAGAGUAACUGUUCAUACGUUGACGGUAUUUAACCAGAAAGUCACGGCUAACUACGUGCCAG